RNAcentral lists this ribosomal RNA (303 nucleotides) under uncultured bacterium. Its description in RNAcentral is "partial 16S ribosomal RNA". It matches the Rfam family "Bacterial small subunit ribosomal RNA", at positions 507 to 807 of the family's 1533-position model. The record is from RNAcentral.
AGCAGCCGCCGCGGUAAUACGUAGGUGGCAAGCGUUGUCCGGAAUUAUUGGGCGUAAAGGGCUCGCAGGCGGUUUCUUGAGUCUGAUGUGAAAGCCCCCGGCUCAACCGGGGAGGGUCAUUGGAAACUGGGAAACUUGAGUGCAGAAGAGGAGAGUGGAAUUCCACGUGUAGCGGUGAAAUGCGUAGAGAUGUGGAGGAACACCAGUGGCGAAGGCGACUCUCUGGUCUGUAACUGACGCUGGGGAGCGAAAGCGUGGGGAGCGAACAGGAUUAGAUACCCGCGUAGUGCCUGUCUCUUAUAC